Molecule: long non-coding RNA, 1799 nt
Organism: Oncorhynchus tshawytscha (Chinook salmon)
Lineage: Eukaryota; Metazoa; Chordata; Actinopteri; Salmoniformes; Salmonidae
Source: Ensembl
UAAACGACUCGUGUGUUUCUGAUCGUCCUGAGAAUUGCUGUGAAGCUAGAUAACAUGCUAACGCUGUGUUCUGAACAUAGUUUGACAAGUUUAGUCGACAUAUAAUAUGUAAUUUCGACGUUUUGGUGCGCACCCACUUGACUUUUUGGCUGCAUUUCAACCGAAAUAUGUCGUGUUUGAUCACCGAAAGACACAGACUUCCAAACUAAAGCUGUUUUUGGUAUAAACCCUUCCAGGUCUUCUGAUGGAAGAACAGCAAAGCAUCAGUAGAACACGCCCUUACUCUCCUGGAAAGCGAUGGCUGGCAACAUCUGACUCCGUACUUCAGGCAGCUGACACAGAUCAAGCACUUUCUGCACUUCAGCUUCGAUGCUCUGGAGCCUGGUGUUGUUGUCACCAAGGAGCGUUCAGACUCAGUCGGGACCAGGUUUCAGCUGAUGCACAGCGCUGAUGUCCUUCCACCCAUAGACGGUCUGCCUGUACAAGCACCACCUGGUCACAACUAGACAAAUGUAUAUUUUUGAGAAGAUCAGGUAGUUUUGAGAUGAAGAAGCCAUGGACAUCACAUGCCCUGCACCAAAGUCAAGGACAGGACAGAUACUGGCUCUCAGAAUAUAGAUUUCCUUGUUCAUGCGUGGUGCGGACAGACCAGUUCAUCACUGGGGCAUUAGAAUUCCUACCGACCACAGUGUAUCAGCUGCCAGGAACAGAAUCCCCCACAAUUUCAAGAGUGAAGAUCACAGAGUGUGCACAACAAGUUCGACUGAGGUUUGGACUGUUUGGUUCAUUAAAUAAUAUAAAUGAUUAUAAUAAUCAAACCUAUUUUAUGAUAUCUUAUCUUGUGAAAAAGUAUAUAUUUAGACAAUAUGGCUUUGUUUCAAUGUGCUAUUUAAAAAAUGUACAUAUUCUUGUAUAUUCUCUACGUCAUGUAUGUUCUGAAAUGCAGUAAAUGUAAAUAAAUUACUUGAAAUUCAACAUUGUAUCUUGAUCAUGUGUGUAGGAUAUUAUGGGAUGGUAGAAAAGGCAAUAAUAUUCAAGCAAAAUUGAAAUUAGGAUGACACUGAACAGAACCCAAGGAUUAGAUAAAAAAUUACCCAGCUGCUGGUUCAAUCCCCAAACCAAUGUACUGGGUUUAUGUCACAACCAACACACUGGAUUGUUGUAACACAGCAAUAGUCUAAUUUACCCAGCAGUUGGGUCAAGCGAUCAACACAAGACGCUGGGUUAGACGCACAACCCAAAUUCGCUGGGUUGAAUUAACCCAGUGCUUCGCUUGUCAAAUAUUGACCCAGGCACUGGGUUGUUGAAAUUAACCAAAUAUGGUAAUUUUUAACCAAGCAUUUUUUGGAGUAAGAAAAAUUCAUUUUGGAAAAAUAAUUUGAAUUGCCAUAUUAGGCAUAACACAAUGUCUACCUUUUAAAAUACCAAAAUAAAUAGCCAUUUCAGUAAUUGUUUUCAGUAUCCUAAUUUUGUUUUGUUUUCUGAUUGUUUAAUUGCAUGUAUUCAAGCUUUGGAUGAAGGACUUCCACAAGGCUGCCAUCUCCAAAGUUCAUUCAAAAAUGCAACAGUUCUGAACAGGGUUUGAUUUAGUAUUUGUUGUUUUAAUUAUUGACAUUUUGUUAAUUAUCUUUCAACUUCCAUUGGUUAAUAUUUUGCCCAGUUACCACUUGGUUCAUGUAAAUAGAUCAUGUAGUUGGUCCCUUUAAACAUCCUAAUGUCAACAUCCCCAUAGUGUUCACAUUUCUCUUGUUUAAACGUUGUAGCUACAUAAAAAUAUUAAACAAUUUAUUACGGAAAAA